This 2901-nucleotide ribosomal RNA is filed under the name Escherichia coli. Its description in RNAcentral is "23S ribosomal RNA". It matches the Rfam family "Bacterial large subunit ribosomal RNA". Lineage: Bacteria; Pseudomonadati; Pseudomonadota; Gammaproteobacteria; Enterobacterales; Enterobacteriaceae. The record is from RNAcentral.
UUAAGCGACUAAGCGUACACGGUGGAUGCCCUGGCAGUCAGAGGCGAUGAAGGACGUGCUAAUCUGCGAUAAGCGUCGGUAAGGUGAUAUGAACCGUUAUAACCGGCGAUUUCCGAAUGGGGAAACCCAGUGUGAUUCGUCACACUAUCAUUAACUGAAUCCAUAGGUUAAUGAGGCGAACCGGGGAACUGAAACAUCUAAGUACCCCGAGGAAAAGAAAUCAACCGAGAUUCCCCCAGUAGCGGCGAGCGAACGGGGAGCAGCCCAGAGCCUGAAUCAGUGUGUGUGUUAGUGGAAGCGUCUGGAAAGGCGCGCGAUACAGGGUGACAGCCCCGUACACAAAAAUGCACAUGCUGUGAGCUCGAUGAGUAGGGCGGGACACGUGGUAUCCUGUCUGAAUAUGGGGGGACCAUCCUCCAAGGCUAAAUACUCCUGACUGACCGAUAGUGAACCAGUACCGUGAGGGAAAGGCGAAAAGAACCCCGGCGAGGGGAGUGAAAAAGAACCUGAAACCGUGUACGUACAAGCAGUGGGAGCACAGAGCAAUCUGUGUGACUGCGUACCUUUUGUAUAAUGGGUCAGCGACUUAUAUUCUGUAGCAAGGUUAACCGAAUAGGGGAGCCGAAGGGAAACCGAGUCUUAACUGGGCGUUAAGUUGCAGGGUAUAGACCCGAAACCCGGUGAUCUAGCCAUGGGCAGGUUGAAGGUUGGGUAACACUAACUGGAGGACCGAACCGACUAAUGUUGAAAAAUUAGCGGAUGACUUGUGGCUGGGGGUGAAAGGCCAAUCAAACCGGGAGAUAGCUGGUUCUCCCCGAAAGCUAUUUAGGUAGCGCCUCGUGAAUUCAUCUCCGGGGGUAGAGCACUGUUUCGGCAAGGGGGUCAUCCCGACUUACCAACCCGAUGCAAACUGCGAAUACCGGAGAAUGUUAUCACGGGAGACACACGGCGGGUGCUAACGUCCGUCGUGAAGAGGGAAACAACCCAGACCGCCAGCUAAGGUCCCAAAGUCAUGGUUAAGUGGGAAACGAUGUGGGAAGGCCCAGACAGCCAGGAUGUUGGCUUAGAAGCAGCCAUCAUUUAAAGAAAGCGUAAUAGCUCACUGGUCGAGUCGGCCUGCGCGGAAGAUGUAACGGGGCUAAACCAUGCACCGAAGCUGCGGCAGCGACACUAUGUGUUGUUGGGUAGGGGAGCGUUCUGUAAGCCUGUGAAGGUGUACUGUGAGGUAUGCUGGAGGUAUCAGAAGUGCGAAUGCUGACAUAAGUAACGAUAAAGCGGGUGAAAAGCCCGCUCGCCGGAAGACCAAGGGUUCCUGUCCAACGUUAAUCGGGGCAGGGUGAGUCGACCCCUAAGGCGAGGCCGAAAGGCGUAGUCGAUGGGAAACAGGUUAAUAUUCCUGUACUUGGUGUUACUGCGAAGGGGGGACGGAGAAGGCUAUGUUGGCCGGGCGACGGUUGUCCCGGUUUAAGCGUGUAGGCUGGUUUUCCAGGCAAAUCCGGAAAAUCAAGGCUGAGGCGUGAUGACGAGGCACUACGGUGCUGAAGCAACAAAUGCCCUGCUUCCAGGAAAAGCCUCUAAGCAUCAGGUAACAUCAAAUCGUACCCCAAACCGACACAGGUGGUCAGGUAGAGAAUACCAAGGCGCUUGAGAGAACUCGGGUGAAGGAACUAGGCAAAAUGGUGCCGUAACUUCGGGAGAAGGCACGCUGAUAUGUAGGUGAAGUCCCUCGCGGAUGGAGCUGAAAUCAGUCGAAGAUACCAGCUGGCUGCAACUGUUUAUUAAAAACACAGCACUGUGCAAACACGAAAGUGGACGUAUACGGUGUGACGCCUGCCCGGUGCCGGAAGGUUAAUUGAUGGGGUCAGCGCAAGCGAAGCUCUUGAUCGAAGCCCCGGUAAACGGCGGCCGUAACUAUAACGGUCCUAAGGUAGCGAAAUUCCUUGUCGGGUAAGUUCCGACCUGCACGAAUGGCGUAAUGAUGGCCAGGCUGUCUCCACCCGAGACUCAGUGAAAUUGAACUCGCUGUGAAGAUGCAGUGUACCCGCGGCAAGACGGAAAGACCCCGUGAACCUUUACUAUAGCUUGACACUGAACAUUGAGCCUUGAUGUGUAGGAUAGGUGGGAGGCUUUGAAGUGUGGACGCCAGUCUGCAUGGAGCCGACCUUGAAAUACCACCCUUUAAUGUUUGAUGUUCUAACGUUGACCCGUAAUCCGGGUUGCGGACAGUGUCUGGUGGGUAGUUUGACUGGGGCGGUCUCCUCCUAAAGAGUAACGGAGGAGCACGAAGGUUGGCUAAUCCUGGUCGGACAUCAGGAGGUUAGUGCAAUGGCAUAAGCCAGCUUGACUGCGAGCGUGACGGCGCGAGCAGGUGCGAAAGCAGGUCAUAGUGAUCCGGUGGUUCUGAAUGGAAGGGCCAUCGCUCAACGGAUAAAAGGUACUCCGGGGAUAACAGGCUGAUACCGCCCAAGAGUUCAUAUCGACGGCGGUGUUUGGCACCUCGAUGUCGGCUCAUCACAUCCUGGGGCUGAAGUAGGUCCCAAGGGUAUGGCUGUUCGCCAUUUAAAGUGGUACGCGAGCUGGGUUUAGAACGUCGUGAGACAGUUCGGUCCCUAUCUGCCGUGGGCGCUGGAGAACUGAGGGGGGCUGCUCCUAGUACGAGAGGACCGGAGUGGACGCAUCACUGGUGUUCGGGUUGUCAUGCCAAUGGCACUGCCCGGUAGCUAAAUGCGGAAGAGAUAAGUGCUGAAAGCAUCUAAGCACGAAACUUGCCCCGAGAUGAGUUCUCCCUGACUCCUUGAGAGUCCUGAAGGAACGUUGAAGACGACGACGUUGAUAGGCCGGGUGUGUAAGCGCAGCGAUGCGUUGAGCUAACCGGUACUAAUGAACCGUGAGGCUUAACCU